This is a non-coding RNA of Glycine soja, 109 nucleotides long. The record is from Rfam. NCBI's taxonomy places the organism in Eukaryota, Viridiplantae, Streptophyta, Magnoliopsida, Fabales, Fabaceae.
CUUUGCUAUUUUCAUUUUUAAAAUAGACAUUGGGCUUCUUCUUGUUCCUCUUUUUUCCUUCCAAUUCCGAUUUGGUCCUAAUGCCUAUUUUAAAAUGAAAACAAUGAUA